GAUAGCUUGCUAUCAAUGCUGACGAGCGGCGGACGGGUGAGUAAUGCCUGGGAAUAUGCCCUGAUGUGGGGGAUAACUAUAGGAAACGAUAGCUAAUACCGCAUAAUCUCUUCGGAGCAAAGAGGGGGACCUUCGGGCCUCUCGCGUCAGGAUUAGCCCAGGUGGGAUUAGCUUGUUGGUGGGGUAAUGGCUCACCAAGGCAACGAUCCCUAGCUGGUCUGAGAGGAUGAUCAGCCACACUGGAACUGAGACACGGUCCAGACUCCUACGGGAGGCAGCAGUGGGGAAUAUUGCACAAUGGGGGAAACCCUGAUGCAGCCAUGCCGCGUGUAUGAAGAAGGCCUUCGGGUUGUAAAGUACUUUCAGUUGUGAGGAAGGCGUUGGAGUUAAUAGCUUUACCGUUUGACGUUAGCAACAGAAGAAGCACCGGCUAACUCCGUGCCAGCAGCCGCGGUAAUACGGAGGGUGCGAGCGUUAAUCGGAAUUACUGGGCGUAAAGCGCAUGCAGGUGGUUUGUUAAGCAAGAUGUGAAAGCCCGGGGCUCAACCUCGGAACAGCAUUUUGAACUGGCAGACUAGAGUACUGUAGA
Molecule: ribosomal RNA, 589 nt
Filed under: bacterium 4878K2-B23
Lineage: Bacteria
Description: bacterial SSU rRNA
Rfam family: Bacterial small subunit ribosomal RNA
Source: RNAcentral